Schistosoma rodhaini is the source of this 46-nucleotide non-coding RNA. The record is from Rfam. Lineage: Eukaryota; Metazoa; Platyhelminthes; Trematoda; Strigeidida; Schistosomatidae.
GCACUGCUGAGGAGUCCCACAAUAGGACGAAACGAGCGUCCAGUAC